GGCGCCGGGCGCGCGGGCCGGGCGCAUUUCCGGCGCGGGGGGUGUGUCCCGAUGGCUGCUGGGGGCCCUCGGCGCCCUCCUCGCCGCCGCCCGCCGCCCCGCGCCGCCCGCGGGCCUUUGGCCGGAGGGGGCAACCUUUGGGCUCUGGAAAGUACCUUUGGAAGUUUGGGCCCUGUGAAGGGAAGUCAGCCUGGUAGAAGCUGAAGGAAGUUUCAAGCCGCGGUUCUGUGUGUUCUUUCCUCAGCACUUGUGCGCCCGCGGACGAUCGUGCCGAGUCUGAGGCAAAAAAGAGGAGGACAGGUAUCACAUGGGUGGAUGUUUGCUGCCCAGAGCCAUCUCAGGGCGAUGUUGUGACCAGGGGCUCCCCACCAGCAGAAGAUACUCUGCAACAGGAUGGACCUGGUGAGGCCAAAAAGUCACCUGCCUGUGAGGUGGAAGAAAAGAAACCGCCAAGGCUGCAGAAAAGAGCAGAAGGCUUUACUC
Molecule: long non-coding RNA, 483 nt
Organism: Chroicocephalus ridibundus (black-headed gull)
Lineage: Eukaryota; Metazoa; Chordata; Aves; Charadriiformes; Laridae
Exons: 3
Source: RefSeq, a predicted model, not a curated record